AUACUGAUCUUGAGGCUCCAAUGUGUUCCUUCCUGGGACUUGAUAAUGAAAGAUGCUGUGCCUGGAGGGAAAAAGGAAUCUCGAGGAGGAGAUGAAUGGUGUGCUUUUUUCCCCAAAAUACACGAACGUGGUGUUUUCCGGUCCUGGAUUAACGAAACCUCCCAUCCCGCACUUCCUAUAGAGACAUACUGUCAGGAUGUGGUACGGCUCGAUGCGUACCCCUCGUAAUAGGACUUGCCUUCCCAUCUGAAGGUGAGCACUGGGUAGUCCUACUUCAGCUGUGUUGGUUCAGGCAGGGCAGAAAAGACUUACGCGCAGCCAAUAGGCCCUUGAGCUCUGCAGCACCAACCAGCUCAGUAGACAAAUUGUUGUAAUGCACCUCCUAGGUCGUGGUCUAUCUACCCUUCAUUCAAAAGCUGCAUUUACCUUCUAGCUAGUCCUUAGCUCUGUCACAUUUUUCCAGCGCCUGUUUUCAGGUGUUUCUUUUGCAACUAAUCGUGUAGGAAGUGGCUGGAUGCUCCCUGCCAUUAUUUGCUCAGUAUUUCCAGAUGCAGUGGUAUUGAACCACCGCUUGAUUGCCAGCAAAUUUGGUAUCUUCUUAACAAGAUAACCCAUGCCUAGAAACGUCUCUGAGAUACUACUAUGCUAUGUGGAGCCUGACCGAGUUUAUAAUUCCACUAAGGCCUUUCAUUAACUGGAACUCAUGCCAAGCUAGUACCUCUCUUCUCAGCCUUCAAAUGGAGGGUGUGAUACCACCUUGUAAGGCUGUGGGAUUAAACGUGAUAAAUGUAAAAUGCGAAACAUGAUGUCUGGCACCUAAGAGGGUCCCUUAAUAUCCCAUUAGACAGUUGUGUGGAUGGAAUCAUCAGGUUCAACUUCAUUUCUUAGUAUUUUGCUUUUUGGGAUACUUACAAGUUACUCAACUUCUCUGGCUAAUUUGAUAUUUAAUGUAAAAGGAAAUGACACUAUUUUGUCACACUUUCGGAUGCUUAAGGGGAAUCUGAAAUACAAAAAUGGAGCAACGUAUUAAAUGAAAGAUAAAACUCACUUUAGAAAAAAAAAUACCUAUGCAAGCGAAAGAAACCCAUGUAUAGUGAGAAAGCAAAGUUAUAGUAGUUCCCUCUCUGACCCUGCUGACUUUUAUCUCUCUUUAUUUGCACCAGUACUACUGGGUAUUUACAGUGCUAAUAGUACUGUGCUGGCUUAGCCAUGGACAGUGCUUCUCAGAAGGGUUGGCUUUUUAAAAGCAAAGUUUUCUACAAAACUAAGUGUAAAGUAUUAGCAUCUUAGAAACGGAUGAUUGUUCUUAUUUCAGGAAACCUGAAGUCUGUGUAUAGAUGUGCCUGGCUGGCACAGUUGACCACCAUUGGUAUCGCUCCCCAAGUUCACCAUGGUUCUUAUUUAAACUGAUUAGUUUUCCUCUGGAGUUAAGUACCAGAAAACCAGUUUAGUCAGUGCGCCCAUUAGUAUUGUUGAUCGCCAGCCACACAGAGAGGCAGCCAGGCAGCCUGCAGUUGAAUCCCAGGCACUCUCUGGUCAAGUGACCACCAAAAUUACUCAGAGUUCCUUGUGCCUCCAUCUCCUCAUCAGCAAAAGAUAAACAUAGUACCUAGUAGAGUUGUUGUAAGGACUAAAUUAAACGAGUUAAUGCCUCUAAAAAGCUCAGGAGAACCUGGUACCUAGUAUGCACUAUUUAAAUAUUUGUUAAAUGUCUUCUUUAAAAUCUUUCCUUUAGAUCACUCUCUGCCAACAGUAACAAGUGAUGCUGGUCUCUUCCUGUUUAAAAACCAAAUUUCCUAAUGAGUCAGCCAUGAAGUCUCAGUCUCUAGUGUCUGAAGGAUACUUCAGGGUCUCAGCUCAUUUGUAAAGCAAAGAUCAGUGAAAUACUCAGAGCCAAAUCUUUUCAAGCCCAGAUUAUCAACCGAUACUUCCUCAGGAGCCAGAAAAAUACAUCUGGUAAAACCUUCUCCACUGCCACAGAGAAAAGGGGCUGAAACAACAAAAGUAUUGUACAUGGAGCAGGAAGAAAACUUGUUAUUAAAGGCCAGGCUGGCAGAAAGUCGUUUCCAGUGUAAACCAAUAAAACGAAAACACUCUGCCACCUCUCCUGCCUGGAAUCAACCAAAAAUAACAAGGAGAACAAGAAAAGUCUUCAGUGACGCUGGGAAACACCUCAAACUCUGAACAAGCCCGCAUGAAGAAAGCCUCGGAAGACAGCCUUCGGGUCAGGCAGUCCCGACAAGAGGUCCGUGCUCAGCACGCCUGGGACAGGGGUGUCAGAGCGCCGCGUUCUCUGGGACGGGGGAGCCCGGGGGAGGGAAGGACAGACCGCAUCCACGCUGCCUAGAGAGCCUGUCCGGCCCCUUGUCACAGCGUGGCAGGGGACACAUUCAAGCAGCCAGGCACAGACACACCGCUUCUCCAAGGAGCAGGGUAUCCAUGUGGCCUGUGGAGAUAAAACCCUGGAUGACUUAACAGCCCUGAGCUGCCCAUUUUUAUAAGCUGAAGAGUGGUGAAGGCUAAGUCAAAAGUAAGCGUACUGGGAACUUAGAUUAUUUGGAGAUUCAUGAAGAAGUAGUGCAGUGUCUCCCAGCCUGGAUUAGCGCAUGACACGGGGCAAAGUGCCCGUAAGCUUUCCUAGGGGACGUCCCUGUGCUGUUCCUCCUCAGGGAACACCCCCCCUCCACCUGAACCCCACUAGACUGGAAGUAACUCCAUUCCAAGGAGGAAAAAUCAGGAAGGGGCCAGCAUGAAACACAAGAAACACAGGAGGAAAAAGAAGAUGGCGUGAGAAAAGUUGAUAACAGCCACAUCCCAGAAAAAUUACACCAUGAAUGAGACUGCUAGCCUGCCUCUACAAGAACCCAGACUCAAGACUCCAUCAUCAUCUCUUGCCUGAGUUUCCGGCCUGCCUGCCUGAUUUCAGACUUGCCAGCCCACACCACUGUGUGAAGCAAUGCCCUGUUUUUAAGCUACAGAUGUCCUCAAUGCAUGAGUGAGAUUAUGCGUGUGCAAGGGUCAGGAGUACUUCAGAAACAACUCAGUGCCCUUCACUGGAGGAUUAGUUGACACGUUAUGGCACAUCCAUGGGUAGAAUUUGCAGCCGUAAACAAGAAAGCUCUCUAAAUCCUUACAUUAAAGUUUUACUCAAGGUAAUAUGCAGUGAGAAAAGCAAGAUGCAUGCAGAACAGGAUGAAUGGAUGCUCCCAUUUGUAUAAAAAUGAGGGAGAAGAUACAGUAACACAAACACACACACCACUGUCCCCGGAAAGAUGUACAAGGAAUUGGUGAUGUUGGGUAGCAUUGGUUGUUUCUGGGGAAUAGGAAACUUGUACCUUUGAAAUCUGGUAACAUACAUUAUGAAAACAAAUUAAUUCAAAAUGAAAUAAAAAGGCACACCAUGUAACACUGAAGGCAGGCAGAAUCCUGGGUGGCUGUCCGGGACUGCCCACCGGCUUGUGAUGUCUCUGCCCUCUAGAGGCGGCCUGGAGAAGAGCUCGGCAUGACUGUUCCUGUGGACCCCUCACCAGCCAGCCUCCAGCUGGUCUGGGGGCACAGGCCUGCGAGGGCUGCUCACGGGACUCUUUUCCUCUGGUUCCACGCCUUCCUCAGCUGCCAACAGCGGUCCCCAUAUUGGCGGCAGUCAACAGCCGCUAGAGUGGGAGGAAUCAGAACUUGAAUGAACCACAGCUCUACUGGAAUCUCUUCGAGUCCCACGUGUUGAAACAGAAUUGAGCAGAGCUCACUCUGCUCACUAAUGAAAUAUGGAUACUUCAUUAUUCUGGUCCAAAAUACAAAACUAGAAAAGGAAAUUGUAGAAUGAUUUUUUUUUUCAUUUACGAGUGUAGCCUUUGCCCUAACAAUGAAUUACGUAAUGAAUCCCGAGGUUGGAUUUGAAAUCCUGGCACACUCUAAACGUGCAGAAAGGACUCUGUCAUCACCUGUUCUCCCUUCAGGCUGCAGCUGAAAAGUACAGAAGGUAAACCGUUUUCUAAGCUGUUUGAUUUUUCGAAAUUUAAAUCUGUAUUGUAAGUUAACAAUUUGUUUCCACCAUCACACAGUCAUUGUUAAUAUUUUUCAUAUUCUCACCAACUAAUUUCUUCCCCAAAAGAAACUAAGAUGCAUUUUCUGAUUAGAAAAUGAUGACAUGGCCCCUGGCGUCAGCAACAGAGCGGGGCUGACAGGCUGUCUGCUCCCCUCUGUGCUGGAAUCACUGGUGAUUCCAGUCUCUUCCCAGCUGCUUGCCGUGCCAUCACCUUUACUUCCCCGUACUUUCCACCGCUGAGGACAAGUGCGAUCUCUGCCCCCUCACGGUGCUUCUGGGGACGCAUGUGUGAUUCCCCACAGCCACUCUGACCAUCAGGACCCUCUGUGACUACUCAGGGCUCCCUCUGAUACCACAAGAACCCCAGAAACCCCACUGCCAACUGCUGCUGCUGUAUGGGAACUGGAGAGCAGGGAGCUGUGACUGAUCCCGCUGAGUGGAACCCAGAAUUAACCAACCUUCUCGCAGAAAUAAUGCUGUCACCCUGGCUGUCUACUAUUACUAAUACCGUAAUUUCGUACAGAGGUG
This is a non-coding RNA of Vicugna pacos (alpaca), 4573 nucleotides long. NCBI's taxonomy places the organism in Eukaryota, Metazoa, Chordata, Mammalia, Artiodactyla, Camelidae. The record is from RefSeq and is a predicted model, not a curated record.